RNAcentral lists this ribosomal RNA (609 nucleotides) under Pseudomonas sp. SUND_CHM2. RNAcentral's name for it is "bacterial SSU rRNA". It matches the Rfam family "Bacterial small subunit ribosomal RNA", at positions 535 to 1144 of the family's 1533-position model. The record is from RNAcentral. Lineage: Bacteria; Pseudomonadati; Pseudomonadota; Gammaproteobacteria; Pseudomonadales; Pseudomonadaceae.
GGGCCGUAAAUCGGAUUCUGGGCGUAAGCGUGCGUAGGUGGUCCUUUAAGUCCGAUGUGAAAGCCCUGGGCUCAACCUGGGAACUGCAUUGGAUACUGGGCGACUAGAGUGUGGUAGAGGGGGUGGAAUUUCCUGGUGUAGCAGUGAAAUGCGUAGAGAUCAGGAGGAACAUCCAUGGCGAAGGCAGCUACCUGGACCAACACUGACACUGAGGCACGAAAGCGUGGGGAGCAAACAGGAUUAGAUACCCUGGUAGUCCACGCCCUAAACGAUGCGAACUGGAUGUUGGGUGCAAUUUGACCCGCAUGAUCCAACCUAACCCGUUAAUUUCCCCCCCUGGGGAGUACGGUCCCAAGACUGAAACUCAAAGGAAUUGACGGGGGCCCGCACAACCGGUGGAGUAUGUGGUUUAAUUCAAUGCACCCCGAAAAACCUUACCUGGCCUUGACAUGUCGAGAACUUUCCAAAGAUGGAUUGGUGCCUUCGGGAACUCGAACACAGGUGCUGCAUGGCUGUCGUCAGCUCGUGUCUUGAGAUGUUGGGUUAAGUCCCGCAACGAGCGCAACCCUUGUCCUUAUUUGCCACCCCGUAAGGGUGGGGAACUCUAAA